CUAACUAAUACAAAUAAAAAGUUGUAACUAGGCUAAUACAAUAGGGAAACAUACAAACAACACAUGCAUAUACCAGAUACAAUUAUAACUGAUUAAUUAUAGUCUAAAUAAAGAAAUGUCUUUAUGUGUGUGCGUUUGUGUGUGUGUUAGUUUGCUUGGUCGGUCAGGCCCAUUGCCUGGCCAUUUACAGCUCUUUGGACAGUGUUUGAAGUCAGAUGGGAGAGAUGAUAGUGGGGGCUGGUUAGAAUCUCCUUGACGGCGAGGAACCAUUUGGCAAUUUAAACCCCAUACAAACGUAAAGUCUCUGACCAGAACUGUAAUUUAUAUGCAAAUGUCAAAAGGCUAAAAGGGUCUCUUAAGCCAUAAACACCCCAAAGAUCAUGCAUGAUUCUACGCAGACGCUACACAGUGUUUUGCUGACGCGAUCUGGAGCUCGUUUCUAAAGUUUCCUGAUGUUAUGUUAUUCUAGAUACAACAUGACUGUCCCGGCUCUGAAAGGCUGUGUGAAAAUCAGCACAGCGGGCGGCUCCACCCCGAGCGUCGAGGAGAAAGUGGGAGUCGGCAGAGGCUGCACUAACGAGCUGCAGAUGGUCAGGAAAGCGGAGUUCAGUCUCGGCAGUGCACUGGAGAAACUCCAUGAAGACUUCAGCUUAGACAAUGUCAGUCUUUCUCUGGGCUUCAGGAGUACAAAACCAGAUGGCAUCCUGCUGCAGAACAGCAAAAACAAUAAAGACAUGGAGCUUUCCAUGGAGAGCGGAUAUGUGCUCCUCAAAUUCCAGGGCAGCGUCUGGAAAUCUACUAAGCAGUACCAGGAUGGAGAAUGGCAUUAUCUCACUGUUUUCUCUUGUACAAGCAUCUUGUACAAGAAAAUCCGAUAUCAUGCAAAUUUGCGUAUUAGAAAUUGUAGCAACUACUUAUAAAUUCCUAACACUUUCUAUUUAAUAUCAAUACCUAUAUUUCAUAGGUGGCUUUAUAGUAGAGUUGUAUAUCACGCAGCACGUCUCAUUGUGUAUUUAUCAUCUGCACUGUGAUCUCUCUGUGGCAGAAUAAAGACAUGGAGCUUUCCAUGGAGAGCGGAUAUGUGCUCCUCAAAUUCCAGGGCAGCGUCUGGAAAUCUACUAAGCAGUACCAGGAUGGAGAAUGGCAUUAUCUCACUGUUUUCAAACAGGGCCAAGGCAUUGAACUUCGCAUCAAUGAAGAAGAUGUUGGCCAGAGACAGACAGGAUCUUCAUCUGGACCGUAUUCGUCCAGCGUAAUCCUCGGCAAAGACACCUUCAAGGGCUGCAUCUCCAACCUGUAUCUGAGGAGACCUGCUUCUCUUAACAGAGCGGAGGAUCUGAGCGCUUACUCUUCCACAGGAGACGUGUUGUUGAACACAUGCAGUAUAUAGCAGCGCAGCUAUUAGCAG
This 1408-nucleotide long non-coding RNA is filed under the name Sinocyclocheilus grahami. Its description in RNAcentral is "lncRNA (ENSSGRG00000040919.1)". Lineage: Eukaryota; Metazoa; Chordata; Actinopteri; Cypriniformes; Cyprinidae. The record is from RNAcentral.